UAUGACAAUUUUGCAAAAAAAUAUCUGCACUCCUCUCCACAUUUACAUAUAAGUCCUUUCCUCGUUCAUCAAUAUUCUGUGUAACGCAUGGGCAUCCUGCUAGUAAAGAUAAACUACACAAUAUCGAGCUGCCUUCCGGGCCACCUUUCUUCGCAGCAUGGCGCAGGUUCUGCGUUAUUCUGCUCCCAUUCUGGAUCGGGCUGCAUCUGGCAACUCGAAGAGUUGGGCUACAAUCAUCAGCCUGCACAAGCACAACGCAGAGCAUGGCGAGCGCCCUCCAAAAAAAAAACACGGCGACCGACGCCCCCAUGCGACGGCGCCGUCGGAAAGGAGACGUAGCCGGCGGCCUUACUGCCUUCACCGUCCUCCUCCGUGGAUGUCCAUAUCCGUUGAGCCCACUUCUCCCCCCCAGCCCCCCAGAGUCCCAGUCUAGGAGACGGCUGCCACAACCCCCGUCGGCGUGCGUGGUACGACUGUGACGUCAAGGGCCGUGGAGAGCGACGUCCCAUAGACGGCGCAGUGUACUGCCGUGGCGGUGGAGGAUGGCAGGGACGUGCAGUCUAUGGUUUGGGAGGCGAACUUGUGGUGCCUCACACGGAGCAGCUACCCAUGCAAGCCACCUGUUCGACAGAGUGCCAGAGCAAAGGAAUAUACGGCCAGCCUAACAGUUCGACAGUCUGAGACUGAGAAGCCUGGAGCCCAGGACUAAGGCAAGGAGCCAAGAACACGGGUUUUGAUCUCUAGUCAUUUAUCUGAAACGCUAGUUAAAGAAACUGAAAAUCGUAAUUGUUAUGAUGAAAGUACAGUUCCGUACACAGCUCUACCAUUUAUGUAUGUUCCUUUCAUUUUAGGUAAGUCAUCUUGACUAUAGUGUACUUUUUCUUUUAGCAAGACUAUAUUGUACUUUGCUAACACGCAGAAUUCUUAUUAAGUUCCAAAGCAAUAUAACAGUAACUUUAAGUUGGCUAA
Molecule: non-coding RNA, 969 nt
Organism: Aegilops tauschii subsp. strangulata
Lineage: Eukaryota; Viridiplantae; Streptophyta; Magnoliopsida; Poales; Poaceae
Source: RefSeq, a predicted model, not a curated record